GUGCCAGCGCUGCGUUAUUUGGUUGGUGCCUGCGGACGGGCCCGCGGGGGUUUCGCCGGGGACUUCCCUGGGGCGUCCGGGUUGGCGUCUGGGAGGCCAAGACCGCUGUGUGGAGGUAGCCGCAGCGCCAGCACCAGAAGAAACAGUUUGUGUGAAGGCUGUAAGGCUUGGAGAGGUUUUGGCUAUUUUGACGACUAGAAGGUGGGCCACAUGAGUGUGACUGAAGUUUAGUGGAAGACAUAUGGUGUGGAAUGAUCCGGGAGAAGGACUACAUCACAGCAAGCUCGUUUGAUAUAGUCAUUGUUGGUGGCGGAAUUGUGGGGCUUGCCUCUGCCAGAGCACUCAUCCUGCGACAUCCAUCACUUUCUAUUGGUGUUCUGGAAAAGGAGAAAGAUUUAGCUGUUCACCAGACUGGACAUAACAGUGGUGUCAUACAUAGUGGAAUUUAUUAUAAACCUGAGUCUCUGAAAGCCAAAUUAUGUGUACAAGGUGCAGCCCUCCUCUAUGAGUACUGUCAGCAAAAGGGAAUUUCCUACAAGCAGUGUGGCAAG
Molecule: small RNA, 551 nt
Filed under: Pongo abelii (Sumatran orangutan)
Lineage: Eukaryota; Metazoa; Chordata; Mammalia; Primates; Hominidae
Description: processed transcript
Source: RNAcentral